Molecule: RNA transcript, 2689 nt
Organism: Medicago truncatula (barrel medic)
Lineage: Eukaryota; Viridiplantae; Streptophyta; Magnoliopsida; Fabales; Fabaceae
Gene name: acidic leucine-rich nuclear phosphoprotein 32-related protein
Exons: 3
Source: RefSeq, a predicted model, not a curated record
ACGAUAGAGAGAGAAAAUUACAAUACAAAACUUAGAGAGAGAAACAAAACCAAAAAUCUGCAAAAUCAAAAACACUCUCAUCAAAAUUUCACACUACAAUUUUAAAUCCCUUCAUUCUCUUUUUUACAACCGUUGAUUUCAAUUUUCAAUUUUCAACCUUGAAUCUUCAAUUUUCGUUUAUCAUAACGAAAAUACGUUAGGGUUUGUUGAAUUCGUUCAUGAUAGCAGAAAUUUCUGACACGAAUUUUUAGUUUCGUUCAAAUUCGUAGUGUUUUGGUUUCGUGUAUGAGAUAUACGAUUUGGUAUUUAAUGGAUGAGAUCUGGGAGAAAGCUGUGGAAACGGCGUUAGAAGGAGAGAAAGAUCAUGUUUCAGCACGAACGUUAACACUUGACGGCGCCGUUAAGUGUGUACAAGGACGUUUACCACCACCGAGCCUUCUAGAAAGGUUCCAGAAUCUUCAGCAUCUUUCGAUUGCAAACGUUGGUGUUUCAUCGUUGGAGCAGUUCCCGAGGCUUCGGAGUUUGCAGAAGUUGAAUUUGUCUGAUAACCGGAUCGCUGGAGGGUUAGAGUAUUUAGUCGAAGCUGGUCUCGAAUCGCUUCGAGAUCUUGAUUUAUCGAAUAAUAGGAUUCAGAAUUUUGAAGAUCUUGCGCCUUUGGCGCAGGUGAAGCUAGUUUCGUUGGAUCUGUAUGAGUGUCCUGUUACUAGGGUUAAGGAUUAUCGAUCUAGGGUUUUUGGUUUGAUUAAGUCGUUGAAGUAUUUGGAUAAGAUGGAUGCUGAGGAGAAUGAAAGGCCGGAGAGUGAUGAUGAGGAAGAGGAUGAUAAUGAGGAUAACGAGGAGGAUGAUGAUAAUGAUGAGGAGGAAGAUGAGGAGGAUCCGGGGAGUGGUGAGAUUGAUGGUGGCGAGGAAGAUCGAGUUUUUGGGGUGGAGAAUGGCCAUAGUGAAGGUGUUGAUGGUGUUGUUGAUGCUGAUGAGGAUGAGGAGAGUGAUGCUGAUGAGGAGGUUACGGAGAGUUCGAGGGGGAGGGUUAAUGGGGUGAGUCAUCAGGAGAAUGGGUUUCAUGUCGAGCCGGUUGAUGUUGAGGAGGACGAUGAUGACGAGGAUUCUGGAGAGGAGAUUGAUGAGGAAGAGGGGGAUGAUGAGGAUGUUGUUGAGGUGAAUGAGAUUGAUGAUAGUGAUGAUGAUGAAGAUGGGGUUGAGUUUGAUGAGGAUGAUGAUGACGAGGACGAUGAUGAGGUGGAUAAUGAUGAAGGGGAUUUUGCUGAGCCUGAGAGUACUUCUGGGCGGUUGGUGAGUACUGAAGGUGAGAUCGAUGGGCAUGAGCAAGGGGAGGAAGAUGGAGAUGAAGAUGACAAUGGAGAGACCGGUGAAGAGGAGAUGGCGGUUGAAGAAGAAGAUGACGAUGAUGAUGGAGAUGAUGACGAUGGAGAGUUUGAAGAUGAUGAUGAAGAGGAAGACUUUGGUGCUGGGUAUCUGGUUCAGCCAGUUGGACAGGAUGAUCCUCUUAAUGAUGGAGCUGCUGACAUCGAUGAUGGAGAAGAAAACGAAGAUGGUGAAGAAGAAGAAGAGGAAGUUGAUGAUGAAGAUGUUGAUGACGAUGAUGCUCAAGAGGUGUUGCCUCCCGCCUCUUCACAUCCCAAGAGGAAGAGGGACAAUGAUGAUGAAGCUGAUGAGGACGAUGAAGAUGAAGCAGCAUUCACAAAGCCAUCGAAGAAGCACCAUUGACCACACACCAUUAUAAAUUAUGUCAUGUUCAAGUUCUGUGAUGGCUUCCAAGUAUUGGAAGCAGAGAAAUCCUCAAGAGUUUUAGAUAGAACAAUGGACUAUGUUUGCUUGUAAAAAGGAGCUUGGUUGGUGAUUCUUGGAGGGAAGCAAAGGGUGCGAACCUUUUAAAAAAUUUCCUCAAACUCUAGUUUAAUGAGAGCACUUUUUGGCGGCAGAAAAAGGAAGAAAAAAAGCUUGUAAAACACAUGUAGAUAUAGUUCUUAUGAAAAUGAUUCCUAUGAAGCAAGUUGGGUGUGCCAUUAUAUUGACGUGGCCAGUUCAUAAAUUAUUGCCAAAUUGUUACGUGGAUUUAUCCCAGUUUCUAUCUUAAAUUUAUUGAGCUUGAUGACAAUAUAAGGGGAAAAUAUUGGUCCCGUCUUAAUAGUCAAAAUGCCAGGUAAUGUACCAAUGGGGCCCCUCUAAUUGUGUAUGCAAUUGUUUUACUAAUGUCUAACAAAAAAUGGAUGGAAUUUGAUUGUUUAUUUAUGUUCUCAACAAGCAUCCAACACAGCAUUUUCCAUCAAUCGUGCAUGUCUUAAAUUUUCAUCUAUCCACGUGGGUUAGUUUGGUUUUUUUGAUCUUCAUUUGGACGGUUAGAUUAACAUUUAUUUUUUAUCACUUUGUUGUUUGUUUUUGUCACGCUUUGGAGCUAAGCCAAUCAGAGAUGGGAAUUAACUUUGCUCUUUUGAUGUUAUUAGGAGCAAUCGUGAAAGUUUGCGUGACGCACACGCAGGUUUUUGUGCGAAGCAUUAACAUCACAAGCUAGCUUGAGGUGUGGAUUUCUUUGAUUUAGUGGGAGCUCUUUGUUCAUAAGCACUCCUUCAGGGUGACACAUUACCAUAAUAUGCCUAUAUUGUGGAACACAAAUUUUUGUAUACAUUUAACUUAUCAAUUACAAAUUCGAUCAAAAAAUGGUUAAUUAUUA